GUGGUGGUUAUAAGUUAAAUGUAGACAUGAACAAGUAAGUUUGAGACCACAUCAGUUAGGACUUUAUUUUCUACUCACCCAUUUUUAUUAUAAACCUGAUAAUCAGUUGUUUGUUCUAAGGCAGUUCAAUACUGUCACCAAAAAAAAAGUUCAUAGGGUAAUCUUAAGAUUCUUAAACUUAGUGUCAUUUAUGUAAAUUAAAAUAGAUGUAGAUGAAUACAGCCUCACUGAUUUGUUUGACUAUUCAGUCUGUUUCAGUCUUCUAGUGUUUUAUCUUGAACUGAUACUUAGUGUAAGUGAAAAGGUCAGAGUUGGGAUUCCUGGUUUGAGUAUCAUGCUUUGUCAUUUUAAUGAAAGUACAGUGACUUCAAGGCAUUUUAUGAAUAACGGGUAUACAUUUUACAGCAGUAAAUUUCUUCAGAAAAUAUUUCUGUAGUUAGGAUUAAGUUAUUUACAAUCAAACAAGUCAUUAUGUGGUAAGGGGCUUAAUAUUCCUGAAGGAAAUGGAUAUCUGACUAACGUCAACCAGCUGGUCAGAUUUUUU
Molecule: long non-coding RNA, 544 nt
Filed under: Bos taurus (domestic cattle)
Lineage: Eukaryota; Metazoa; Chordata; Mammalia; Artiodactyla; Bovidae
Description: long non-coding RNA NONBTAT000690
Source: RNAcentral